GGGGUUGCUGCUUCCAAGCACCCAGAUCAUGUCUUUGACAGCCUGUGCUGCACAGCUAUAUACCUUUCUUUGGGUACCUCGGAGUUGGCAUUAAUGGGAGUGAUGGCUGUGGACCAUUAUGUGGCUGUGUGUAACCCUUUGAGGUACAACAUCAUUAUGAACAGCAGCACAUGUGUCUGGAUGGUCAUUGUAUCAUGGGUGUUUGGGUUCCUUUUUCAAAUCUGGCCAGUUUAUGCCACUUUUCAGCUUACUUUCUGCAAAUCAAAUGUGUUAGAUCAUUUUUACUGUGACUGAGGACAAUUGCUCAAGGUAUCCUGUGAGGACACUCUUUUCACAGAGUUUAUUCUUUUUCUAAUGGCUGUUUUCAUUAUCAUUGGUUCUUUUGAUCCCUACGAUUGUCUCCUACACCUACAUCAUCUCCACCAUCCUCAAGAUCCCGUUAGCCUCUGGCUGGAGGAA
RNAcentral lists this long non-coding RNA (459 nucleotides) under Homo sapiens (human). Its description in RNAcentral is "novel transcript". The record is from RNAcentral. Lineage: Eukaryota; Metazoa; Chordata; Mammalia; Primates; Hominidae.